This is a non-coding RNA of Paramuricea clavata, 1384 nucleotides long. The record is from the annotation of a GenBank genome assembly. NCBI's taxonomy places the organism in Eukaryota, Metazoa, Cnidaria, Anthozoa, Malacalcyonacea, Plexauridae.
AUCCCGUUCUGCCAUAUGUGGUCUGGGAGAGAAUAUGUUGCUGUCUAGAGUUAUAUAAACACAUGGAAGUUAGAGGUCAUGAUAUAUAAUUGUGAAGCGAUUUCUAUAUUUUAGUGCUAGGUUUUUAAAGUACUAAAGCUCGGAUAAGGUUAAUAAAUUUAAGCCGUUAAUAAACUAAGGUUAAUAUAAUUUAAGCCAGUUGCUAUGUGUUGUUAGGGUGAAACUAAUUAAAAGAUUAACUUUUUAUCAGAGAUUUGCAUUUUCUACUGUAUGGAUAAAUACGGGUAGAUUAGGAUAUUCGUUGCGCGGGCGUCGCGGGUUAUCCGUGCGGGUUGGAAACACAACAAUAAUGAGGUUUAUAUUGGAAGAGAGAAAGCAAUUUAGACAAUGCAGGAGCGCUUUGCAGCCAAAAGUUUACACAAGAAUUGAAUCUUAAAAUACAUUUAUUUCUUCGAGACGUUUACAAAGUUAAUGUGGUCUACUUCUUAGAGCAUAAUGUGUUGGAUUUUAUUUAAAUUACGCACAACAAUUUAAACGUUUUUUGUAAUAAAGGUCGUUCGGCUUAAUUGUUCAUUCGCCAUGGUUUCUAUACCCCUAGCCCUACAUCAACCCUACAUCGACCCUACAUCGACCCCACAUCGACCCCACAUCGACCUCACAUCGACCCUACAUCGACCCUACAUCGACCCUUAUCUUCAUCUUCUUAUUUUCCUUAUCCUUAUCUUUAUCUUCCUUAUCCUUAUCUUUAACUUCCUUCUCCUUAUCUUCCUUAGCCUUAUCUUUAUCUUUUUAUCUUCCUUAUCUUUAUCUUCCUUAUCCUUAUCUUUACCUUUUUAUCUUCCUUAUCUUUAUCUUCCUUAUCUUUAUCCUCCUUAUCUUUAUCUUUUUAUCUUCUUUAUCCUUAUCUUUAUCUUCCUUAUCUUUAUCUUUUUAUCUUCCUUAUCCUUAUCUUAUCUUCUUAAUUUUAUCUUCUUAUCUUCCUUAUCCUUAUCUUCCUUAUCAUCCUCGAAUGGCUUUAGGAUUCAAUGAUUCACUCUUAUGAUUCAAUGAUUCACUCUUAUGAUUCAAUGAUUCACUCUUAUGAUUCAAUGAUUCAAUCUUAUGAUUCAAUGAUUCAAUCUUAUCAUUCAAUGAUUCACUCUUAUGAUUCAAUGAUUCAAUAUUACGAUUCAAUGAUUCAAUCUUACUAUUCAAUGAUUCAAUCUUAGUAUUCAAUUAUUCAAUCUUAAGAUUCAAUGAUUCACUCUUAGGAUUCAAUGAUUCACUCUUAGGAUUCAAUGAUUCAAUCUUACUAUUCAAUGAUUCAAUCUUAGGAUUCAAUUAUUCAAUCUUAUGAUUCAAUGAUUCACUCUUAGGAUUCAAUGAUUCAAUCUUACGAUUCAAU